This 433-nucleotide ribosomal RNA is filed under the name uncultured bacterium. RNAcentral describes it as "partial 16S ribosomal RNA". It matches the Rfam family "Bacterial small subunit ribosomal RNA", at positions 29 to 507 of the family's 1533-position model. The record is from RNAcentral.
AACGAACGCUGGCGGCAGGCCUAACACAUGCAAGUCGAGCGCGCACUCCGGGGUGAGCGGCGGACGGGUGAGUAACGCGUGGGAACGUGCCCUUUUCUACGGAAUAGCCUCGGGAAACUGAGAGUAAUACCGAAUACGCCCUUUGGGGGAAAGAUUUAUCGGAAAAGUUGCGGCCCGCGUUGGAUUAGGUAGUUGGUUGGGUAAUGGCCUACCAAGCCGACGAUCCAUAGCUGGUUAGAGAGGAUGGUCAGCGACACUGGGACUGAGACGCGGCCCAGACUCUUACGGGAUGCAGCAGUGGGUAAUCUUACAACGUGGGGUCAACGCUGAUGUAGCCAUGCCGGGUGAGUUAUGAAGGCAUUAGGGUUGUAAAGCUCUUUCAGCUGGGAAGAUAAUGACGGUACCUGCAGAAGAAGCCCCGGCUAACUCCGUG